GAACUUUCUCUGUCACCCAGGCUGAAGUGCAGUGGCAAGAUCCUAGCUUAGUGCAGCCUCAAACUCCUGGGCUCAAGGGAUCCUCCUGCUUCAGCCUCCAGAGUAGCUGGGACUACAGGCGUGCGUCACCACACCCAGCUAAUUUUUGUAUUUUUUUGUAGGUCUUGCUCUUCUGUCCAGGCUGGUCCUGAACUCCUCGGCUCAAGGGAUCCUCGGGCCUCAGCCUCUAGAAUAGCUGGAACUACUGGCGUUCAGUACCACUCCCAACUAAUUUAUUUUUCAUUCUCGUAGAGGCUGGGUCUUGCUAUGUUCCCCGGGCUGAUCUCGAACUCCUGGACUCAAGCAAUCCUCCUGCCUCAGCGUCCCAAAAUGCUGGUAUUACAGGCAUAAGCCACCACGCCCAGCCCGGGAAUCCUUUCUUUUAACCACUGCAGUACUCCACCUUUUUCCUACUAGAUAGUAAGAGAGGUUCUGCUCUUUCCACAUCCCCCUGAACUCUGAUGUCUGUUUGAAUCAAGAUGGAGAAAUGUGGUUUACUAAGAGACUCUGCAAAUGUGGGGCCUCUUUCUGAGCCACAUGGGGUGGGCAGCCUCCAGGUCACAGGACGCUGCUGCUGGCAUCUGGAAGGGCCACUCCGUGCGAACGUGCUCAGGGCAGCCCUGCGUUUUUACAGGAAACAUCUCAGUUAAAUAUGCAAGCGUGUUUCAUUGCAGGGGCUCAGGAAACUUGUUUAUCUUCCUUAAACACUGCCAGAGUGGCUCUCGUUUGUUAUCUGGGGUGUGAAAUGGAGGCUGACAACAAUUAAUACCUCCUCCCAGGCAGCUCGGCGGCGCUCUGACGGGAAGCUGUGUACUUCCGAGCAGGCGGCUGAGGAGGUGGCAGGCCGAGCCGUCACUCAGGAUCCGAGGGGGGAAGAGUGACAGCAGCAGCUGACCGCCCCUCCCGCCGCCUCCUGAGAGGCCCCCAUGAUAAAGCAUCCUGCUUUGUGGUGUAAUCAACUUGCCAUACAUGCAUUACCUCCUAAUGAGCGCCGUGUUUAAACAAGUGUAUAGAACACAUCUGUCCGGGCCUUGGGACUCGAGGCUGUGUGACCAAUUUCAGCAUCUGAAAGUUAAAUUAAUGGUAAAGGGUUUAAUUGUGAGUAAACAAUACCACAUUAAGGAGCAGUAAACACAGCAGUGGGGACCCACCGACCCGCUCUGCCAUCACAGAUGCGGCGGCCUCCAUGUGACCGUUAAUAGUCCCCGCCGCCUGGAAGUUCUGACAGCGCCCUGAAGCCCAUUUGUCAUCUAAAUGGUCCGUCCCCUUCUUAAACAUCAUUUUGGCCCAAGGUCCAUUCAUGGGGCCUGCCGGGUGUUCCUGGGAAGAUGGGCAGAAAAUCCCAAGGCCACCAUUUAGUGCCAAUAAACAGAAGGCCUGGUUUCUUCAAAAGAAACACAAGAAAUUGUUUCCUGGUUUUGCCACAGAGAUUGGGUCACAGAGUGCCACCUAAAUGGUAUUACCAUAUUUGUGUUGUCGCCUCUUGGUUUGAAAUUUAUUCCUGGUAUGACUUGUGUCUCCCCUUGUUCCAUCUCUGACACCCAAGCCCAUGGGAUGACAACCCAGGCUGAGAUGUCCCAUGUGUCACAAAGGAGUCCUUCAGUAUUUCCAGGAAUAGUUGGAACCAGCACUCCAUCCCCUACCUGGACCUGGCACCCUCUCUACUCUUGUCAAUUCUACACUAAUCACAGGAAGAAGGUGGAAUUAGUCCAAGCUGGGUUUUCAGAAAUAACUUGUAGACAUGCAACAGAUGUUUAUAACCCUCAGAAGCGGAAGGAAACUUGGAAACCCUCUCUUUCGGUGACUUUUUUUCUAAUGAUUGUCUCUGCCAUGAAAUUCUAACUUCAAAUGAAAUCUUUGGCAGGAACCCAGGGCUGUUCUGUCAAGGUUCAGCUGCAGGACCAGAGCCCCUUCCACCUAACCCCCACUCCUAUCCUGAUGCUUCCUGAGGCACAUCUGCUGUGGUUUCUCACCAGAGAACAGUCUGCAAAAUCACUGCACCUUGUCCAACUCCAUUUUCCAACUGAGAAGACUUGGCCCAGAGAAGUGCACAGACUUGAGGGAAGUAACACAGCAAUCGGACAGACAGACAUCCCCAGAUAUACCUGCUACGGUCCUGGGAGAAAAUAGAGACCCAUCCCCAAAUACCAUCAUCCUCAUCAUUCUCUGUAGCCCAAUCAAAUGAUGCUCCAGGCCUGAGAUUUUAUCCAAUGAACACUCUGUACAUCUUUAAAAGAGAUAUGUACUUGUCUUAUUCCUCCUUUCCUUUCUUUAAAAAAAAACACAGGCCCCAGAUCCAGUCAUUCUAAAUAGGAAGGAAAAACAUAACCCACUGAGGCAAUGGAUGCUGUUUCUCUCCCUGCUCUGUGACUUUAGUUUGCCUUUAAAGCCCAUUUUCACCAUUUAUUGAUUUUAGUUUUCUACUUGUCUAUGAAUGACAACUUGAAUUAAGACAACGCAGGCUGAAAAGCCGCUAGGCAGUGCUAAAUGGACAAGCUACACUUCGUGGCAGGAUGUCUCAUGACCGUGCCACCUUCUGCCUAGCCCCAUUCUCUGGAGGAGCUGUGGGCAGACCGACCCCAGCCUGGCCGCCUGGCAUGGGGACUGGUUGCGUCAGAUCGGAGCUCUGAGAUAAGGGUGGGCCAGGGCAUGAUCAUCACCACUGCCAGCCUCGAAGCCUCUUUGCUGACCUGGAGGUGAUCUGUGUAUCAAAGGGGGCUGUGUAUUCAACAGCACUUCCAGAAGAGGCCAAAGAUCUGUCUCUACUUCAGCCUCCACUGGGCAGAAAACUAAGCCUAUUUGCUCUAGGCCCUUCAGACUUGCACUUGGAGAAAGAAAACUCACUAAGUCAGCCCUUAUGUAACUCCACUCUCCUCUCUUCCAAACCUCCUUGCUUUGGACAAAUAUUUGACAGAAAAUGCCCUUUUGCAACGCCUUAAAAGUUACAAAAAUGGUGCACCCUAUCCUUUAAUCUGUACUGUAAAUAAAAAAUAUUAACACAAACCCUUUAACCCAGAAAUCCUACUUUUACAAAUCCAUCUUAAGAACGUAAUCAGGGCUCCUUAGGACACCAGGUGAAAUGAUAGGAGCUGCGAGGUUG
RNAcentral lists this long non-coding RNA (3139 nucleotides) under Homo sapiens (human). RNAcentral describes it as "HSALNT0386161". Lineage: Eukaryota; Metazoa; Chordata; Mammalia; Primates; Hominidae. The record is from RNAcentral.